AAACCAUCUUAGUUGGGGGUGGGUGAGGCUGCGCUUUAUGGCGUAUUCGAGCCUGUCUUCGACAAGGAGGGUUAAGUCGUAACAAGGUAUCUGUAGGGGAACCUGCAGAUGGAUCACCUCCUAAGAAAAC
RNAcentral lists this ribosomal RNA (130 nucleotides) under Methanobacteriota archaeon. RNAcentral describes it as "Euryarchaeota archaeon (marine metagenome) partial 16S ribosomal RNA". It matches the Rfam family "Archaeal small subunit ribosomal RNA", at positions 1355 to 1478 of the family's 1478-position model. The record is from RNAcentral. Lineage: Archaea; Methanobacteriati; Methanobacteriota.